UACAGAGGGUGCAAGCGUUGUUCGGAAUUAUUGGGCGUAAAGCGCGUGUAGGCGGCAUGGCAAGUCGGGUGUGAAAGGCCCUCACGCUUAACUGAGGAAGUGCGCCCGAAACUGCCGUGCUUGAGUGCCGGAGAGGGUGGCGGAAUUCCCCAAGUAGAGGUGAAAUUCGUAGAUAUGGGGAGGAACACCGGUGGCGAAGGCGGCCACCUGGACGGUAACUGACGCUGAGCACGCGAAAGCGUGGGGAGCAAACAGG
This 256-nucleotide ribosomal RNA is filed under the name uncultured bacterium. RNAcentral's name for it is "partial 16S ribosomal RNA". It matches the Rfam family "Bacterial small subunit ribosomal RNA", at positions 524 to 776 of the family's 1533-position model. The record is from RNAcentral.